This 71-nucleotide transfer RNA is filed under the name Patescibacteria group bacterium. RNAcentral describes it as "tRNA-Gly". It matches the Rfam family "tRNA". Rfam says of the family: Transfer RNA (tRNA) molecules are approximately 80 nucleotides in length. Their secondary structure includes four short double-helical elements and three loops (D, anti-codon, and T loops). Further hydrogen bonds mediate the characteristic L-shaped molecular structure. tRNAs have two regions of fundamental functional importance: the anti-codon, which is responsible for specific mRNA codon recognition, and the 3' end, to which the tRNAs corresponding amino acid is attached (by aminoacyl-tRNA synthetases). tRNAs cope with the degeneracy of the genetic code in two manners: having more than one tRNA (with a specific anti-codon) for a particular amino acid; and 'wobble' base-pairing, i.e. permitting non-standard base-pairing at the 3rd anti-codon position. The record is from RNAcentral.
GCGGGAUUAGUUAAUCGGUAUAAUAUCAGUUUUCCAAACUGAUGUGGAGGGUUCGACUCCCUCAUCCCGCA